Long non-coding RNA from Astatotilapia calliptera (eastern happy), 1524 nucleotides. The record is from Ensembl. NCBI's taxonomy places the organism in Eukaryota, Metazoa, Chordata, Actinopteri, Cichliformes, Cichlidae.
GGUUAUUGAGCCUGCUCAGAGACGUUGAUGCCGCUCUGUAUCUCUGCACAGCUUUCACUGGAAGUGCAGGACAGAGUAAAGCUCAAAGCACCAACAGGCUGGAGCCACAGAGGAUUGUGGGUACUGUAGUCUUGCAGGUCAACGUUUGUGUCGUAAUGAAGAAGCAUACAGGGGAUUGGAGGGCAGUGAAAGGCAGCAGCUGUGUUCUUCAUCGUGGGGGGGGGGCGUUGGGGGGUAUUUCCUGGGGCAGUUUCUGUGUGUGGCUGCAGCUCGAGGCUCUGCAGCCGUUUUCGGUGCGCGGUCUUAUUGUUGACUCUCAGUCUGAAGGUCACGGCGUGAUGCCGCCGGUCAGUGCACUGAAACUCAGCUGACCACCUCCGACCGGCCACUGUGAUUGGCUGAGCCGGCCAUGUUACACAGUUACACAGAGGAAGAGGCUGCAGGUGUUUGGGCUUCGCCACAGACGCAGAAGGAAAGGAGCAGACAGCUGAGCUCCACCUGACCUCUGACCUCUCCAGGACCAUGCCGUCACCUGUCAGCUCAUCUCAGUCUGACCCAUCGGGACUCAAACGCCUCUGUUUGUGGCUCCAUCGCUGCUCCUCCCCUCCUCUCCCUCUCCCCGUCAGCUGCGGCGACUCCUGCCCUCCGUCAGCAUCGCGCCGUCUCCCCCUGCUGGUGGCCCUGCUGCUCUGCGGCCUGCUGCUGAUGGUGCUGCUGCUGCUGUGGAACUACCACUGUGUGUUCAUCUCACACCUCUGCUCCCCCCUGGGGGAGGAAGGGGGGGAGAUGGGCUCGUGACCUCUGACCGGUCUGGUCCAGUCCUGCUGUGCCAAGUCAGCACUGUGUCAUUGAUGAUGAUGAUGAUGAUGACGGCUCGGGACGGUUUUCAGUUUUAAUAAAAAUGUAACAAUCAAAAUAAAAAAUCUUAAACGUGCUGACGUCAAAGGUUCCUUCUCUGAAUCUCGCAAACCGCCUUUUCUGUUCAUAUGAAGGGGCGUGGCCUUUACACGAUGGAACAUGAUGAAUGGUGUAGCAGCCACCAGGGGGCGAUCCAAAUACGUCUCCCAUUCAUGAGCGGUGUUUUUACUGAUGUGCAUCUGAAGCCAGCGCGUACUUCCUGUUUCUGUGGCGGGCGUUCAUGUUAAAAACGUUAGUAAUGAUGAGGUCGUCAGAUCACUGUGCACUGCAUAGAAGGGGGAUUCAAAGUUCCUGUUCAGGAUGGGCAGCCAAUCAGAAUAACGUUGCUCUGAAUGAGGGAGGAGCUAAAAAACUUGCUUUAGCAGCUGCUGCAUGAAGAGAAGUAAAAACUCCUCCAUGCUGGUUUUCAGGACUGAUCACGUCCCGCAGUUGAAACACGCACACCUGCUCAGCAGGGCGCCACGCCCAAAACCUGCACCACCGCCGCUGCUUUAUUUCCUGAGUCGCUUUGGUGCUGCUGAGGAGACAAACCAACACGUUUACUCAGGAACUGCUGCUGAAUGACACCUGAAUCACAUUCACCCCCACUGCGACCUCUGAGGCCCC